CCUACGGGAGGCAGCAGUAAGGAAUAUUGGUCAAUGGAGGCAACUCUGAACCAGCCAUGCCGCGUGCAGGAAGAAGGCCCUAUGGGUCGUAAACUGCUUUUGUACCAGNGAAAACCCGAGUACGUGUACUCGGUUGAUAGUAUGGUAAGAAUAAGCAUCGGCUAACUUCGUGCCAGCAGCCGCGGUAAGACGAAGGAUGCAAGCGUUAUCCGGAUUCAUUGGGUUUAAAGGGUGCGUAGGCGGACUGAUAAGUCAGUGGUGAAAUCUCUCAGCUUAACUGAGAAACUGCCAUUGAUACUGUUAGUCUAGAGUAUAGAUGACGUUGGCGGAAUAUGACAUGUAGUGGUGAAAUACUUAGAUAUGUCAUAGAACCACCGAUUGCGAAGGCAGCUAACGAAACUAUAACUGACGCUGAGGCACGAAAGUGCGGGGAGUCAAACAGGAUUAGAUACCCUAGGUAGUCCGCACCGUAAACCGAUGAUUACUCGUUGUUGGCAAUAUGACCGUCNGCGACCACGACGAAGACGAUAAGUAAUACCACCCGUCGGGGUAGGGUACGGCCCGGGCCCGAACCGGUACGGAAACCGUAACCGAAACGUAAGUAAGUUAGUACGGGUACGUGGAGACGUUCGCCGGACGGGACGACCGACCGACGGGGAGGGUAGGGNG
Molecule: ribosomal RNA, 669 nt
Filed under: uncultured bacterium
Lineage: Bacteria
Description: partial 16S ribosomal RNA
Rfam family: Bacterial small subunit ribosomal RNA (bases 1-542)
Source: RNAcentral